RNAcentral lists this microRNA precursor (83 nucleotides) under Mus pahari (shrew mouse). Its description in RNAcentral is "microRNA 1964 (MGP_PahariEiJ_G0006535.1)". Lineage: Eukaryota; Metazoa; Chordata; Mammalia; Rodentia; Muridae. The record is from RNAcentral.
CUUUCUUGUGAAGUUGGAGCACAGGAGCUGGUGCCAGUGUGAUGCCUACAUCGACUUUUGUGCUCCAGCUUUGGAAGGAAGGA